ACAAAAUAAAAUGAGAAUGAAAAUUGAGAAAUGAAUCUUUUAUUGAUGAACAAAGAUGGAAAUUACAAAUCAAUCAGACGAAAUAAUGCAACGAUCUUUGGAAUGAAACACUAAAAUCACAAACCAGAAAGCUCGCUUAAAAAAACACCUCGAACUUUAACAGGAACUUGAGGGAAGAAACAAUGAAAUCCGAACUCGAAAUUCCAAUAACACAAGAUCGUCGGAACGGAUAAAGCGCAAUUUAGGAGAAGCAUAUGUAGGAUUCAACAUCAGCUCCAGGAGCUGAGAGUGAGCCUAAAUUCGACACAAUAGCUUAAUCAAAUUGCAUUAUCAUCUCAGAACCGAAAUCAGUACUCUCCAAUUUCCCAUUGAUUAACUUUCUUAUAUGAUUGGUAUUUCUCCUUCAAUUAAGUGUAAAAGCACAACUUUUGUAGAUGCAAUCAUUGAAAAAUGAUCAACCAAAGAAUAUAGUAUAUAUAACAUUCUCUUUUCCUCUGUCAAUGAAAGACUAUCGUUGGUUUUAAGAAAUUCAUGUGGGUUGACGUCUAAAAUUGGAGGAAAACGGCGUAGAUUCUUUUGGAGUCUAAGGUCUUAAGCUCUCAUUUUGUUGUAUUCUCUUUUUACUGAAGAACAACCGAUUCUCCCUUUUUGUGUUGAG
RNAcentral lists this long non-coding RNA (658 nucleotides) under Nicotiana benthamiana. Its description in RNAcentral is "long non-coding RNA (NBEN_LNC004302)". Lineage: Eukaryota; Viridiplantae; Streptophyta; Magnoliopsida; Solanales; Solanaceae. The record is from RNAcentral.